CCUACGGGCGGCAGCAGUGGGGGAUAUUGCACAAUGAGGGGAACCCUGAUGCAGCGAAGCCGCGUGGGUGAAGACGCGCCUCGGCGCGUAAAGCCAUGUCAGCAGGGAAGAAAAUGACGGUACCUGAAGAAGAAGCUCCGGCUAACGACGUGCCAGCAGCCGCGGUACUACGUAGGGGGCAAGCGUUAUCCGGAUUUACUGGGUGUAAAGGGGGCGCAGGCGGCGAUGCAAGCCAGGAGUGAAAGCCCGGGGCCCAACCUCGGGACUGCUCUUGGAACUGGGUGGCUGGAGUGCAGGAGGGGCAGGCGGAACUCGUGGUGUAGCGGUGAAAUGCGUAGAUAUCAGGAGGAACACCGGUGGCGAAGGCGGCCUGCUGGACUGCAACUGACGUUGAGGCCCGAAAGCGUGGGGAUCAAACAGGAUUAGAUACCCCGGUAGUC
RNAcentral lists this ribosomal RNA (440 nucleotides) under uncultured bacterium. Its description in RNAcentral is "partial 16S ribosomal RNA". It matches the Rfam family "Bacterial small subunit ribosomal RNA", at positions 338 to 795 of the family's 1533-position model. The record is from RNAcentral.